UUCGUUGUUUAUGAAACCUGCUU
RNAcentral lists this microRNA (23 nucleotides) under Ascaris suum (pig roundworm). Its description in RNAcentral is "asu-miR-76-3p". Its record names the gene asu-miR-76-3p. The record is from miRBase by way of RNAcentral. Lineage: Eukaryota; Metazoa; Nematoda; Chromadorea; Rhabditida; Ascarididae.